CAGUAGCCACGGUAAUACGUAGGUGGCAAGCGUUGUCCGGAAUUAUUGGGCGUAAAGGGCUCGCAGGCGGAUUCUUAAGUCUGAUGUGAAAGCCCCCGGCUCAACCGGGGAGGGUCAUUGGAAACUGGGAAACUUGAGUGCAGAAGAGGAGAGUGGAAUUCCACGUGUAGCGGUGAAAUGCGUAGAGAUGUGGAGGAACACCGGUGGCGAAGGCGACUCUCUGGUCUGUAACUGACGCUGAGGAGCGAAAGCGUGGGGAGCGAACAGGAUUAGAGACCCCCGUAGUCCCUGUCUCUUAUAC
RNAcentral lists this ribosomal RNA (301 nucleotides) under uncultured bacterium. Its description in RNAcentral is "partial 16S ribosomal RNA". It matches the Rfam family "Bacterial small subunit ribosomal RNA", at positions 509 to 807 of the family's 1533-position model. The record is from RNAcentral.